Monodelphis domestica (gray short-tailed opossum) is the source of this 4176-nucleotide non-coding RNA. The record is from RefSeq and is a predicted model, not a curated record. NCBI's taxonomy places the organism in Eukaryota, Metazoa, Chordata, Mammalia, Didelphimorphia, Didelphidae.
GGGGUGGGGGUGGGGGUCUGUAUUUGAGAUCUGAGCCUUUGGUACCUAGGAGGAGGGUGCCUUAAAGGAGCUGUAGCUACAGGCUCACUGGAACCGCGAGGAAGUGAGGAGACUCGGCCAAACCCCGCCUGAUGGUGUCUUCCCUCUUGGCUGGACCCGAUGCCCCGAGCAGCCGAUGGGAGACCCCCGCCCGGUUCUCAGACCUGUUUGCAGAUUGCAGCUCACCUGCCCAUCCCGGCUGCCCAGCCCUGCUUGCCUGCGUUCCCGUCCCGGCCCUUGCUCUCGAUCACCUGGCCCACCUGAUUCAACCAAGAUCGCAAUCACCUGAUGACCUGCCUGCCCAACAAACUCUAGCCUUGGAGCAGAUUCACUCAUCGCUCAGGACUCAUUUCUACCAGCUGGUAAAAAAAAAGCUAUGAUUAUAAAAAACUUGUGAAAAAUAUCCAUCAAUUCAUAGGUUUUAAAAAUGCCAUACAACAACUUAUGUGAAAUAUGAUAGUGUGUUUGUUUGCUAUUGUAAUUAAUUGGGAUAUUGAGAAUUUUGGGGAAUAUUGAUAACUACAUAUUUGUACUACUGUUCUUUAAAAGUGAAAAAUGUUAACAUGUUCAAUUCAUUUGCUACAGUGGAUUAUGGCCAGAUAUUAAGAGAAAAUGAAUCUCAUUUUUGGUGAGAAAGCCUUGUGUUCUGUAUUUUCUUAGCUGACACAGAGUAUCAAUGAUUAUAAGCUAUGUUUUUGAAUUUUUUAAAACUCUUUUAUUAUUAUAUUUUUCUCACAUGUGCAAUAUACUUUUUCAGUUUUUUUAUUUUUUUUCCUUUUUUAUAUUUGAAGCACAUGUCACCAGCAUUAAGAUUUUCUUUAACUUUUUGAUUUUGCAGUAAUAUAAGUUUAAGAUACAUUUGUCAAUGCAUGCCCAAAAAGCUAGAUGAUAAAAAUGAUGCCACUAAUUAUUAAAAAAAAAAUUAUGGGACUUUGCUUAAUGAUUCUGUCUGAUUCCAGGACAAGAUAUACACACAAGAGCCAUUGCACAGAGCCAAAGAAAAGCCAAUCCGGGAUGGAUUGAUGCACUUCUAGGCCAAUACAAAGGUCUUGAAUCUAGUGUGAAGACUCGAGGUUACUGUGUUUAACAUAUUGUUAAGACAUAGGCUUUCCUUGUGUCCACACUCGCUCUGAAAAUACUCACAGAUGAGUAUCCCCAAAACCUUGGCUCAUAUAAUCUGGUUCCCUUUUCUGCCUUUCAUAGUGUGGUACCUUUCUGUAGUCCUGGUUACUGACUGGGUAAAUGCAUCAUUGCUUAGAUCAUUUUUAUUGGGCCCUGAUUCAAGGACCUGUUAUAGAUUUAUUUUUCUUUUUACUUGGAAUUUUUACACAUAAGACUUUAAUAGUCUAUGUUUUCAUCCAGAAUUUUUCUUUUUUAUUUGGAUUUUUCUGAUGUCUUUUAAUUUCUCUUGCCAGUUGAUUCAUAUAUCUCAUACCUCAGCCAUACAUCCCUAAGUGAUCCUGUAUUUUUCAAUUACCCUCUUACACGGGGGAAUGUAAAAAAUAUUAUUACUUUAAAUUUCAAAGUUUAAAUUUCCUUUUGAGAAGAAUUUUAGGUAUACCUCUCUGAAUCUAGAAACUGAACUGUUGGAGAAGACACCAUGAAGAAGCCUCCAGACCACAAGCUACAUAAGAAUGGACUUUGGGUGUGGUUGAUUGAACAUUUAUUUGUAUGUAUACUCUCAUGCCAAAGGGGACUUCCCCCUAACUGGCUUUUUGUCAAUGUGUCCAGCAGUUAUUGUUUUUUUUUCCUUAUCCUCAAAUUAUUGUAAUCUUUAAAAUUGAUUAUGUUUUUAUGAUCCUUUGAGGAAGUCCUCCCCAGAGGAUCAAAUGGGGGUAUGUAAAAAUAGACUCAAAUCCAGGACUUCAAUCCCCAGAAAUCCUUGCUCCACUUCCCCAGAAUGCCCUCUAAUAUCACUGAAUUCUCACCUGGGCCAAGAGCGAGAUGGAGUAUUUAAACCUGGUUGUGAAUAGGCUCAGCCUCUUUUGGACUUCCGUUUUGGAGCAGACACGUCUCUUUCAUGAUGUGAGGUUAUCUUGUCCAGGCCUCUCUGGCCUAGGCAUGUGCUUUCUUAUUCUUUAUUUUCUUUAAUCCUUAACCUUUAAUAAACCUCAUAAGAAUAUAAUACUCCUUGUAGAGAGAAACUAAUUUCUACCUGCCUCAGUCUCCCUAAAUUUUUAAUCUUUUCAGAACUUAGCAUUUGUAUGCUUACCUGUAUAUAAAAUCAUUAGGAGAAACAAUUUUGGGAAGGCAACAUUCUUUACAGUAAGUACAGUAAAACAAUGUAGCACUCUGUAGGUUCUGCUUUGCAUGAUCUCUGCAUGAUCCACGCAGAUUUCUUAAGUCAACUACAGCCUCAAAAAUCAUAACUUUACUACGUCUCAUGAAAGUUUAGGCUUUGGUGCUUUACAAGUGCUAAACAUCAAAUGUCAUGCAUGCAUUUUAUUCCCAUCCAUGUGUGAUUCCCACAGAUUAAAGAAUAUUGUCACCAAAAUGUAGGAACUCAUAAGAUUACUUGAUUACAUGGUCAGAGCCUAUUUAUUUCAUUGGUAUUCUUAUGAUGUCAAGAGAACGUGAGGAAAGUCCCCAAUGUGUGGGAUGAAUUCCUUUGAAAAACUCAUAGGGAAAAUGUAUAAAUUACAUAAAAUGAGGUAUUUUAAUCUGGGCCAUUGGAGGAAACACCCAUGUAAAUGAGAUCAUAGGUCCAGAGGAGAAUUAGAAUAUUGAAGUAACAUGCCAAUAACUAUUCUUAUAGGCUAGUUCUGAUGUUCAGCCUCAUUGAAACAAGAUAAAAAAUAUUUUCCUAAAGCAAUGUUAGGAAUCAAAGCCUGAGAGACAACAUAAAUAUAGCUUAUACAAUUAGUAAUAAUAGCAGCUGGUAUUUAUAUAUCACUCUACAGUUUAAGAAUACUUUUACAUCUAUAACUUGCUUUCUUGGGACCUCAGGACCAGGGUUAUUUCCUUUCCCUUAAUGUUCUCUUGUUUGUGAAGAGGUAGGUGGUCUAUCUUCUGCUAUCAGCUCAAGUCUCCCAUAGGCUAUGUUCUCCUAUUUUAGGGGGUCCAGUGACUGGAACCCUGUUUCUCUUUAAGCAUGUGGCACAAGAUUGGCUCUUAUAAAAGGAUACUAAUUUCAGAGAUAUGGUAAGUGCAAAUACAUAAUUUUUUUGCCAAUGUCUCAGGGCCAUAAUUCUCACCUUCACCCCCAUUCCACAACACAAGACGUUGCUGGUUGGAUGGAAGAGUAGGAAUUAAGCUCCCAAUUUAUCCAAUUUCCUACAAUAGUUUUAGUCCCAUCACAUUUAAGCCCAAAGUCCAAAAUGAUGACUUCCCCUGAAUUGGAGUCUCAGAUCCAGUCUUCUCAGGUCAUUGCUUUGAGGCUGGCUGAAAUAUCUGGCCUGAAUUCCUGGACUCCCAGAUCCUUAGGGCUCAUGCCCACCAGCUUAGAUGAUAAGAGGCUCCACUCCUUUCACCUGGAACAAAAAAUAACAAAGACUCAGGACCAUUUCUUGGGGCCACCUGGCCUAACAGAGCAGGGAAAGAUACAGCCAUCAAGGGUCCUCUUACUUACCAGCUGGUCUCACUGUUAAGUAUAUAAAUGAAGGAAUAACUUUCAAACUUAUUCAAGAAUAUAGCAAAGGUUUUAUUCCUGCUAAAUUUUGUAGAUUAUUAUUUAAAGGAUGUUUUAAAUACUUAUGCUUUUAUUUCAUAGCCAACGGAAAAUGGCUUCUCCUAACGAUUUUGUAGACUAAUGGAAAAUGUCUAAGUAUAUUCAUGUCUUUUGGAUUCAGUCCUCUAGCAUCUUCCACAUGGACAAUGCUGUCUUAGGUGUUCUAGAUUUGUACCACACUCUCUACCACAUGUAAAUUACAUAUUUUGAGCCUUGGGACAAUACUGUGCGGUAGGUAAUAGAGUGAUUAUUAUUCUCAUUUUACAUAUAAGGAAACUGAGGCUCAGAGACAUUAAAUUACUUGUCCAUGUGUAACAUCAGAAGUGAAAUUUGAUCCCAGAUUUUUAUGUCUCCAAGUCUGUCACUUUCUUUAAACUAGUCAACUGUUUUUGAUUGAAAGUGUAAUAACUUGCUUGAAUAUUGUUAAGGUAUUGUCAAUUAAACUGAAAAUUGAGAAAUUAAAAUUAAAA